Molecule: ribosomal RNA, 556 nt
Filed under: uncultured bacterium
Lineage: Bacteria
Description: partial 16S ribosomal RNA
Rfam family: Bacterial small subunit ribosomal RNA
Source: RNAcentral
UGGGGAAUUUUGGACAAUGGGCGAAAGCCUGAUCCAGCAAUGCCGCGUGUGUGAAGAAGGCCUUCGGGUUGUAAAGCACUUUUGUCCGGAGAGAAAUCCUUGGCUCUAAUACAGUCGGGGGAUGACGGUACCGGAAGAAUAAGCACCGGCUAACUACGUGCCAGCAGCCGCGGUAAUACGUAGGGUGCAAGCGUUAAUCGGAAUUACUGGGCGUAAAGCGUGCGCAGGCGGUUUGCUAAGACCGAUGUGAAAUCCCCGGGCUCAACCUGGGAACUGCAUUGGUGACUGGCAGGCUAGAGUAUGGCAGAGGGGGGUAGAAUUCCACGUGUAGCAGUGAAAUGCGUAGAGAUGUGGAGGAAUACCGAUGGCGAAGGCAGCCCCCUGGGCCAAUACUGACGCUCAUGCACGAAAGCGUGGGGAGCAAACAGGAUUAGAUACCCUGGUAGUCCACGCCCUAAACGAUGUCAACUAGUUGUUGGGGAUUCAUUUCCUUAGUAACGUAGCUAACGCGUGAAGUUGGACCGCCUGGGGAGUACGGUCGCAAGAUUAAAAGCUC